UGUUCGAGAAGCGCUCUUCCCAUAUGGCACAAAACAGGGCAAAUCAACAGGAAGCAGAUUCUCUAUCCUGCCAGCACUCUUGUCAGUGCUCUAGGAGAAAAAUAAACCCUCAAGGCUGUUAAAAAAGGAAUGGAAAUGUGUUACAGUGUGGGCAGGGAUGCCGUUCUGAGAUAAGGACAAAGCCUGGAGCUGUUUGUGGAAGCCUUUAUUUGAGAGUUUUUCAUCCUUCUUGGAGAAUCCUGGUGAGUCAGUGCUAUGAAAGCAAGGCCCUGUCAUGGGCAGUCAUUGCAGUAUUUCAGCUUGGACGCAGUGGGCCCGCGGCAGGAGGUAAACUCUGGGGCAGCAGCACUCGGCUGCUGGCAUCGUUGGAAGUGGCUGGUCGAAGGCGAUGUCUGCUUCCCGCCUGCGGACAGCAGGGGUCUCCUGGGCUCCUGGGCUGCUGGACUCAACUGUAUGUUAAAAUCCCAUGUCAGUGCAAUAUUCAUGCUAAUAACGGGCUGAUGGAAAUGACAAAGAUCCAAAAUGGAAUUGUCUUGUGUUCAUGAAAGGGUGCAGAGAAAAUGUCCGUAACUGCUGGCUGCCCAGAGCACGUCCCACUUACAGGAACCGCUCACAGUGACGUGUCACGCCCACAGAGCAACCCGGCGCUCAGAGCAACAUGUCUUUGAGGUCUCAGCCAUGUUCGCUGCAGGGAGAUGGCAGGGGUAUGUUUUAGAUCCAGACACUCGACUCACAUAGUUGACCACAAACUGUUAAAAUGUCUGAGGUCGACUAACACACCUGCAGAGGCAGGAGGGACGGAAGGUGGGCUGAGCGGGAGGCGAGAGGACCGGUGGGCCGUGUCUACACUGCCUCUGCAGGAGUUUAUAGCAGACGGCCUGGCGUGUGGCCUGAACAGCCUCCUGCUGGUAAGGUUUGCCCGCGGCCUAUAGCAAGGGCUCCUGCAGAAAGGGCUGGGGACACAGACCUGCGGCCAGAUCUCCACAGUGUGAGCGGCUGGCAGCCCUGCGCCGGCUGGUGAUCCUGGACGCGUCACCUGCACGUCUGUGCUUCGGUUUCCCACGACGCCCCGAGAUCCUGGUGACACCCUCGCUCAGGGUUGUCACGAGCAUGCAAUAUGGAAACACGCGUGUGUGGGACCGUACCGCCCGACUGAAUACUUCCUGGUGGCUUCUCACGGGUUUGACCUCAGGAAGGAUGAGCAGCUCAGCUGGAAGCCCCGUGUGGCAGGAAAAGACCUCCAUCACCUGCCAGCAGGAGGCUCUUCCUCUGGGGUUUCAGAGGAAGGGAAAGCGUGGGCCUGGUUUUACAAUCCCGUUUAUGAUUUUCACAAUAAAUUGUGUUUCAGCCAUGAUCACAGCAAAUGGACUCUCCCUUGUUGUCCAGCUCUAGGAGCGUUCAUUCAUGCCUGGAGCUGUGUAGCCACCACCACAUCCAGGGAGAGAACCGUGGCAUCUCCACACAAGCGCCUCCUCCUCCCCAGGCCCUGGUCUGUCUCCAUCGCAUCGUGUGGACUUUCUGAGAAGCUGUGUCAAUGGAAUCACGUGUUAUGUCACCUCUUGAGAGCGACAUUUUCCCCUCAGCUCAGGGGCUGAGGGUCACCCAGGGCCUGCACCUACCAACUGCGUGUCCCUGUUUACCGCUGGGCAGUCCACGUGCCAGCUUGCUUAUCUCUCACCUGCUCAGGGAUUGGAGGAGGGAGCUGUUAGAAACGCCUGUACACAUACUACUGAGAUUUCAGCAGAGACACCAAUGAUAUAAAACCAUGUCAAAUUCACGCACAUUUUCAGUAGGAAAACUUAAUAAAAACGUGGUUUGCUGAUA
Myotis myotis is the source of this 1824-nucleotide long non-coding RNA. RefSeq lists it as uncharacterized. The record is from RefSeq and is a predicted model, not a curated record. The transcript has 2 exons. Lineage: Eukaryota; Metazoa; Chordata; Mammalia; Chiroptera; Vespertilionidae.